This is a non-coding RNA of Paramuricea clavata, 463 nucleotides long. The record is from the annotation of a GenBank genome assembly. NCBI's taxonomy places the organism in Eukaryota, Metazoa, Cnidaria, Anthozoa, Malacalcyonacea, Plexauridae.
AAUAUUUCUUCCCUGCGCAAGGAUUCCAGUAUCGUGUAAACGGAAAUCAUCUCAAUUAUUUAAUAUAAAAGUAUAUAUUACAUUAAAGGUGAUCUACAGUCCGAUCUGCACAUGUGCACAAAUGAGCCCACAGUUUAUGAUACAAACAGUUUAACUAUGUUUUGAGUUCUUGAAAAGCCUGAUUGUGGUUUCCUGAUCAUUUAUUAUACUCUAGAAGCUUGAAAAUAUAAAUAGUUGUCGAAUAAAGCUCAGUAUUUUGGACACAAAAAUGUAAACAAAGGCUUUGUUUACAUACGGACUGUAGAUCACCUUUAAACAUUACCUUUCAUCCAAACUAGUUUGGUUCUGUAAGGGACUGGUCAUAAAGUAAAAGGGGUGGGCUGGGAAAAAGGGGUUUGUGGGUCACUAUUUUUGAGCAUGGUUGAAGGCGUGGGUCAGGUAAAAAUAUGAAAAUAUGCAGAAU